AAUUGCAUACUUUCCAAACUUAACUAAACUAUGUAUGCAAAUGUUUGUGCAUCAAACAUGCCCUCAUCAGUUACUUUCCCACCAGUGUGAGACACAUAGCUACAUGUACCAUCGGAAAUCUAGGACAUAUUGCUACACAAAGAGAGAAGACGGGGAAGGGCACUGGUAGAUAUAUCCAAUUAUCAUGUAAAUAAUUUUUUUUUUACUUUUAUCAAUAUUUAGAUAUGCCAGACCAGCAUGGAGUACCAGAAUUCAUUUUCCGGCCUGUCCUCAAAAGGAAGGAGCUUAUAAAAACUGGCGGCAGAGACUACUGACUCAAAGGCAUAAAAGGCAAUCUGCAUUGAGCAGAAGCAUAUUCCUCUAGUAAACUACAAGGAGGAAGUGACAUAGCGUCCAAGAAAUUCAACAAGGGAGAUGCCCUAGAUGAGUUCCCAGCACUGACAAUUUAGUCAGUGCUGACAUCUUUAAUGAAAUACCCCCAAGAUACCAAGUUGAGACCGAGUGGUGUCACGCCAUGGAAGAGAUGGGGCUAGAAACCACUGAUGUCAGUAACUAAGGGGAACUAUUACAGGUGGGCAUAGCCAGCUUGGAACAACCAGGGCCAAGGCAGAAUCUGCCUGGGUCAUAUCCCAGCAAUCGAAAUUGGCUGGUCGAGCUGGAGCUGGAGCUCUCACACUCAAAGCCGGAUGCGAUUUUCUCUGAUAGGGACCAAUGCUGCUCUUCCACAGUUCCACUCCUUAUUCAGACACAAUGUGUCGAAACCUGAUGCCUGGGUCCUCACAGUCUAGGUGACAAGCAGGGUCCAGGAGAGUAAUUGAUGACCUCAAAAACAGAAUACCUUCUGCAUCAUCUUCACAUGAAAUGCCAGAGAUUGCCCUGAUGGAGUAGAAGAAAAGAGAAAAAUAUUAAGCCUGGUAACCCAUAGGGGCAUGAGGGUGAUAUGUAAAAUGAAUAUGGACCAGAGGUCUAAGUCAACAGAACCGAAGGAUUUUUGUUCCGGGGGGGGGGGGGGGGCAAAGUCAAGGUAAUCGGGACAAACAUGAUCUUACACUGGUGGAUUCAUAUGGGGGUGGGGAUGCACACCCCUUUUAGAUUGAAAGAUCAAUUUACGGAUAGCUUCAGUGAAGAAAAAGACCAUUUGGGUGACAAAGCAAUAUUUAAGUGGUUGUUUUCCAUUCUAAAAUUAUGUUUCAAAAUUGCUUAAAUAGAUCUUUAAGCAUUUUCAAUCUAUGAAAUUUGUUUUUAAUGUCCUGAAUUAGAAUUAUGAUUUUUGGCUAGAUUUAGUUAUAAAAUAGAAGUAUAACUGAAAGUGAUCAACACCCAAUGCCAUUACUAUGGUUUCCCACAUGUUUAGAAAAUCAAUUUUGCAAGUCUACCCCAAGAUGAACGUAUAUGGCAACUUUCAUGUGCACUAGCAAAAAAAAUACAAAAGGGAUCCUAAAUAAGGUUUCCCGGUUUUGGACAAUAUGUGGUUACCAUAUAUGGUGAAACAAUUUUUUUUUUCUUUGGACAAAUGCAAAAAUGUGUACUGCACGUCUUUAGCUCACAACAAAUGAGUAAGCCAAAUUUCAUUAGAAAUUAUUCAAAAACUAAUAAAGUUGUUUAAACUACAAGAUUUUUCCUUAAUUUUUCUCUCUAUAUGCUGUUACCAUUGCAAUACAUUAUCCAACACACACAAAGAAGUCUUGCACAUCUUUACAUAAAGACCAGUGGGCAUGUUAAUUUUAUCAGUAUUGGUUAAAAACUGAGAUUUUUACCUAAUUUUAACAAUAUAUUUUGAGCAUGGCAACAUACUUUCUGUCACAUGCGGAAAAUAUGUCUUGCAAAUAUAAAAUCAUUCUGAUGACAGCAAAAUCUAAUGGUUUUUUUUGUAUUUAGAUACUUUUUCAAACAUGAAUCAUUUAAUCGAUGAAAAAAAAUGAAUGUCCUGAACUA
This 1935-nucleotide long non-coding RNA is filed under the name Lytechinus variegatus (green sea urchin). Its description in RNAcentral is "uncharacterized LOC121409207, transcript variant X2". The record is from RNAcentral. Lineage: Eukaryota; Metazoa; Echinodermata; Echinoidea; Temnopleuroida; Toxopneustidae.